Long non-coding RNA from Passer domesticus (house sparrow), 2105 nucleotides. RefSeq lists it as uncharacterized. NCBI's taxonomy places the organism in Eukaryota, Metazoa, Chordata, Aves, Passeriformes, Passeridae. The transcript has 3 exons. The record is from RefSeq and is a predicted model, not a curated record.
CCUCCAUGCCCUGAUUAAUUAGCCUGCUCAGCUUUUAGUCUGUGAACGGCUGCAGGAAUGAAUGUCCUGUGGAGUCAAGCCUGAGGACAGACAACCACAAAACAAGAGGGUUAGGCACAGUUUCACCAAGGAACAGUAGCCAAGAUCUGGAGGAAAAACCUGCCAAGAUCAUCAGCUGAAUGCCUCUUCCCCUCAACUUGUGACAGAGCCCACCUGCAGUGCUGCAUCCAGCUCUGGCCCCAGCACAGUAGGGACACAGACUGUGGGAGUGAGUCCAGAGGAUGGACAUAAAGAUGGCCAGGGGGCUGGAGCACCUCUGCUAUGGAGACAGCCUGAGAGAACUGGAGAUGCUCAGCCUGGAAAAGAAAAGGCUCCAGGGACACCUUACAGCACCUUCCAGUACCUAAGGGGGCUCAGGAGAGCUGGAGAGAGACUUUUUACAAGGGCAUGUAGCAACAGGACAAGGGGAAAUGGCCUGAUACUGAAAGAGGGCAGGUUUAGAACUUCCACCCACCCCCAUGGCCAUGCCUGGCCCUGGACAUGGCUGUAUCCUACGGGCCCAAGGAACAAGAGAAAACUCAACAGACAUCUCCUGAAACAAAGAUAAAUCCAAACACUACAGAAAGCCACUUUCUCUAGGUCUGACAACUCGGAGCACUGUGCCUGAUCAGAUAAUGAAUGUUUACGUGUGGUGGUCAGUGUUUCCCAACUGCUCCAUUGUUCCCAGCAUCGGGGUGAAGCCCUGAUGCCAUCAAGACAAGAAAGCAACAGGAGAAGAAGGAAGGAUUUCCUGCCUGGCAAGAGCAGUCCUGUUUAAAUCAGAGAUGGAGUUAACCACCCAUUCAAACAUAUGCACACAAAACACUGACACAGAUUUCCUGGAUCUGCCUUGCACAGGAUUACUAAAUGCCAGUGAACUGUGUUUAAUGAAACAGGGUGACAUGAUUCCAUAGUGCUGGCAACAAGGCAGGCAGAAGAAUGAUCACAGACUGUCCUUUGUUUGUUUGUCCCUCUGGAAAAGCAUUCAUUGUGUUGCCAUCCUCUGCCCUGAUGUGGAUGCCAUCCUCUGCCCUUUGAAUGUGCUGAGUCGCUUGAGAGACUCUGGGGGAAAAUUUACAGCCUGGCCGUCACGUAGAUUAUGGUUGCUUGGCUGAUUAAAGAAGGGUAUGUAUUUUAUUAAUAAUUGUGUUUAUCCUCAGCUUUAGGGUUUGCACCUCCAGCAGGAGUGGGUUUCCCCUUUGAGUUCACACCUGGUGACAUCAGUGAUGCUUAGGCACUUGACAACAGGGUAGAUGUGAAGAUCUGCUGCAAAAUCUGAGGGAUCUCUUUGGUAUCCAUGGCAAUGAAAGACCGACCUGCUGGCAGUGUCCUCUGCAGCCUAAGAAGCAGAAUGAGGGACAAAGCACAAUUAACACCUCAAAUUAUUUUCCAUACCACAAGACAGGAUUCCUCACAUUGCUGUCACCGUGCAAUUAAAGGUUUGGGAAAGCAACAAAGGGAGAAACACUGAGAGCAGGUAGGGCACAGAGUUCCUUUCAGCAACACAAACAAGUGUCUCCAGAGAUUUCUAUCCACACCCUGACAUGCCAGAACUCCACUUUGAUCAAGGUACCAGUGAUCCCAUGAGGUGAUAGCUGAGGACAGCUACAGAUUUACACUGGAAAUGAAGAUUCUUAUCCUAAAUUGACUAUCAUGAACCCAUGAGCUCUUUCAGUUCAACAAGUCCAGUGAUUCUAACUGUGCUCUUUGUAGUUCUUCUUUGACAUCGCUGCAGAUUACACAGAAAUGUAUUCUGCCAAUAGUAACCUGACAUUUUUAUCCACAGCUUAACCCACCCUUAAAAGUCAAACUACAUGCAUGUUACAAAUCCCAGCUCCCUCAUGUCCAGUUAGCAGGCUUGGGAUUUAUUUUUCUGCUUUUUACAGGAGAUUUUGUUCUAUACUAUUCAUCCAAGUGAGCAAACUGUCACUUUUAAUAUUAGUUUAAAAAAAAAUGCAACAGAGAAUUCCCUUCUCCUUCCCCCACAGCAGUUACAGGAAGGGUUUGUCUAAUUCUGCACUUCCACAUACAUAGAAAUGCAUUUCAGUGACAGCACUGUAUGCAUU